GAUGAACGCUGGCGGCGUGCCUAAUACAUGCAAGUCGAGCGAACAGACGAGGAGCUUGCUCCUCUGACGUUAGCGGCGGACGGGUGAGUAACACGUGGAUAACCUACCUAUAAGACUGGGAUAACUUCGGGAAACCGGAGCUAAUACCGGAUAAUAUAUUGAACCGCAUGGUUCAAUAGUGAAAGACGGUUUUGCUGUCACUUAUAGAUGGAUCCGCGCCGCAUUAGCUAGUUGGUAAGGUAACGGCUUACCAAGGCAACGAUGCGUAGCCGACCUGAGAGGGUGAUCGGCCACCCUGGAACUGAGCCACGGUCCAGACUCCUACGGGAGGCAGCAGUAGGGAAUCUUCCGCAAUGGGCGAAAGCCUGACGGAGCAACGCCGUGUGAGUGAUGAAGGUCUUCGGAUCGUAAAACUCUGUUAUUAGGGAAGAACAAAUGUGUAAGUAACUAUGCACGUCUUGACGGUACCUAAUCAGAAAGCCACGGCUAACUACGUG
This 497-nucleotide ribosomal RNA is filed under the name uncultured bacterium. RNAcentral describes it as "partial 16S ribosomal RNA". It matches the Rfam family "Bacterial small subunit ribosomal RNA", at positions 28 to 507 of the family's 1533-position model. The record is from RNAcentral.